GGCUGGUCCGAAGGUAGUGAGAUCUCACAACGAGUGCUUACAGUCAAUUACUGGUCGACGUAUUUGUCUACCUCCCCUCACUGCUGCGCUUUGACUAGUCUNNN
Molecule: Y RNA, 104 nt
Filed under: Echinops telfairi (small Madagascar hedgehog)
Lineage: Eukaryota; Metazoa; Chordata; Mammalia; Afrosoricida; Tenrecidae
Description: Y RNA (ENSETEG00000020728.1)
Rfam family: Y RNA
About the family: Y RNAs are components of the Ro ribonucleoprotein particle (Ro RNP), in association with Ro60 and La proteins. The Y RNAs and Ro60 and La proteins are well conserved, but the function of the Ro RNP is not known.
Source: RNAcentral